CAAUAGCGUAUAUUAAAGUUGUUGCGGUUAAAAAGCUCGUAGUUGGAUUUCUGCUGAGAACGACCGGUCCGCCCUUUGGGUGUGUAUCUGGCUCUUUCUUGGCAUCUUCUUGGUGAACGUUGCUGCACUUGACUGUGUGGAGCGCUACCCAGGACUUUUACUUUGAGGAAAUUAGAGUGUUUCAAGCAGGCAUACGCCUUGAAUACAUUAGCAUGGAAUAAUAAGAUAGGACCUCGGUUCUAUUUUGUUGGUUUCUAGAGCUGAGGUAAUGAUUAAUAGGGAUAGUUGGGGGCAUUCGUAUUUAACUGCCAGAGGUGAAAUUCUUGGAUUUGUUAAAGACGGACUACUGCGAAAGCAUUUGCCAAGGAUGUUUUCAUUGA
RNAcentral lists this ribosomal RNA (380 nucleotides) under uncultured eukaryote. Its description in RNAcentral is "partial 18S ribosomal RNA". It matches the Rfam family "Eukaryotic small subunit ribosomal RNA", at positions 592 to 976 of the family's 1831-position model. The record is from RNAcentral.